RNAcentral lists this ribosomal RNA (530 nucleotides) under uncultured soil bacterium. RNAcentral's name for it is "bacterial SSU rRNA". It matches the Rfam family "Bacterial small subunit ribosomal RNA", at positions 9 to 527 of the family's 1533-position model. The record is from RNAcentral.
GAGUUUGAUCCUGGCUCAGAUUGAACGCUAGCGGGAUGCUUUACACAUGCAAGUCGAACGGCAGCGCGAGAAAGCUUGCUUUCUUGGCGGCGAGUGGCGAACGGGUGAGUAAUGUAUCGGAACGUGCCCAGUAGCGGGGGAUAACUGGCCGAAAGGUCAGCUAAUACCGCAUACGCCCUACGGGGGAAAGGGGGGGAUCGCAAGACCUCUCACUAUUAGAGCGGCCGAUAUCGGAUUAGCUAGUUGGUGGGGUAAAGGCCUACCAAGGCAGUGAUCCGUAGCUGGUUUGAGAGGACGACCAGCCACACUGGGACUGAGACACGGCCCAGACUCCUACGGGAGGCAGCAGUGGGGAAUUUUGGACAAUGGGGGAAACCCUGAUCCAGCCAUCCCGCGUGUGCGAUGAAGGCCUUCGGGUUGUAAAGCACUUUUGGCAGGGAAGAAACGGCGCCGGAUAAUACUCGGCGUCACUGACGGUACCUGCAGAAUAAGCACCCCCCUAUAAGCGUGCCAGCAGCCGCGGGAAUACG